This 23-nucleotide non-coding RNA is filed under the name Cricetulus griseus (Chinese hamster). Lineage: Eukaryota; Metazoa; Chordata; Mammalia; Rodentia; Cricetidae. The record is from RNAcentral.
ACUGAGAAAGCACUUCUGAAGCU